CUCACGCCUGCUGCUGCCGGCUCCACUUCCUGUGCCCUCAUCUUCUUCCUCCUGGACAACCCUCCUCUAUACUUUGUCACAGUGACUGGAAGUUGACUAACAAAUUCUGAAUACAAAUGUCUACAUUUGUAAUAGCAGGAAAUGAACAAAUACAGAUCAAAAGAAUGUCCUAUUUUUAUUCUCUGGACUCUGAGCACCAAGAUUUACAUCUGCACAGCGACAGAAGGAAAAAUGAGAGAACUCAAGUUUGGUUCCUGGCAACCACCCAUUGGAUGGCUUAUAGAUCUCUGUGACUCCAGCUCAGGAAUUCUGGUGUUCUCUUCUGUUUUUCCUGGACAUCCACACUCAUGUGCACAUACCUCCCCCAACACACAAACACAUAAUUAAAGUAUAAAUCCAGCACACAUUUGUUGGAUGCUUGGUGGUGGAUUGUGCAAUUGCUGCUGACACAAGAAAAUUCAAAGAAGCUCAUGAUCCGGUCACCACGAACAAGUCUCAUUUCUAAGAUUCAUCUUUAGUUUCCUUACUGGAAAAUGAGAAGACUAGAUUCUAUGACCUCAGCAGUCAUCUUUACUCACCUUUAAGUCCAGCUUUUUGGUAAUAAGGACUAUCAUGACCUUUUUGUUCAGAUUGUGUAAAAUAAUUGAAGACUUUUGCUGUCUUGGUAUGGCAUCACAGGCCUGUUGUGGUGGUUUGAAAGAAUAUGGCCCCCAAAGGGAGUGGCACUACUAGAACGUGUGACUUUGUUGGAGUAGGUGUGGCCUUGUUGGAGGAAGUGUGUCAC
Non-coding RNA from Peromyscus maniculatus bairdii (prairie deer mouse), 784 nucleotides. Lineage: Eukaryota; Metazoa; Chordata; Mammalia; Rodentia; Cricetidae. The record is from RefSeq and is a predicted model, not a curated record.